UGAGAUGACCACCAAGAGCAGCAGCAGCAG
This 30-nucleotide non-coding RNA is filed under the name Mus musculus (house mouse). Lineage: Eukaryota; Metazoa; Chordata; Mammalia; Rodentia; Muridae. The record is from RNAcentral.